This 136-nucleotide ribosomal RNA is filed under the name Blepharisma stoltei. It matches the Rfam family "Eukaryotic large subunit ribosomal RNA", at positions 68 to 210 of the family's 3401-position model. Lineage: Eukaryota; Ciliophora; Heterotrichea; Heterotrichida; Blepharismidae. The record is from RNAcentral.
ACAAGGAUUGCCCUAGUAACGGCGAGUGAACCGGCAUCAGCCCAGACUGGAAAUCGCUUCGGCGAGUUGUACAGUUGAGACAUAGACCUUACACAGCGGAGCAGGUGUAACUCAGUUGGAACGCUGGACCGUAGAG